RNAcentral lists this ribosomal RNA (267 nucleotides) under uncultured bacterium. RNAcentral describes it as "partial 16S ribosomal RNA". It matches the Rfam family "Bacterial small subunit ribosomal RNA", at positions 1234 to 1500 of the family's 1533-position model. The record is from RNAcentral.
CGUAAACAAAGGGAAGCGGAGCCGCGAGGCCGGGCAAAUCCCAAAAAUAACGUCCCAGUUCGGAUUGCAGCCUGCAACUCGGCUGCAUGAAGCUGGAAUCGCUAGUAAUCGCGAAUCAGAAUGUCGCGGUGAAUACGUUCCCGGGUCUUGUACACACCGCCCGUCACACCAUGGGAGUUGGAAAUGCCCGAGGUCAGUGACCCAACCGAAAGGAGGGAGCUGCCGAAGGCAGGUCUGAUAACUGGGGUGAAGUCGUAACAAGGUACC